GCCGGGUGUGCAGUGGCGCGCGCCUGUAAUCCAAGUGACCGGGAGGCUGAGGCUGGCGGAGCGUUUGAGCUCAGGAGCUCUGAGCUGCAGCGGACUGUGCCGAUCGGGUGUCCGCACUAAGUUCGGUAUCGAUAUGGUGAUCCUGGGGGAGCCCGGGACCAGCAGGUCGUCUAAAGAGGGGUGCACCGGUCCAGGUCGGAGACGGAGCAGGUCAAAGCCCCCGUGCCGCUCAGUAGUGGGGUCGCGCCUGUGAAUAGACGCUGCAGCGCAGCCUGAGUAAUACAGCGGGACCCAUUCUCUU
Unclassified non-coding RNA from Cottoperca gobio, 301 nucleotides. It matches the Rfam family "Metazoan signal recognition particle RNA". Rfam says of the family: The signal recognition particle (SRP) is a universally conserved ribonucleoprotein. It is involved in the co-translational targeting of proteins to membranes. Lineage: Eukaryota; Metazoa; Chordata; Actinopteri; Perciformes; Bovichtidae. The record is from Ensembl.